RNAcentral lists this ribosomal RNA (371 nucleotides) under uncultured organism. Its description in RNAcentral is "bacterial SSU rRNA". It matches the Rfam family "Bacterial small subunit ribosomal RNA", at positions 526 to 896 of the family's 1533-position model. The record is from RNAcentral.
CAGAGGGUGCUAGCGUUAAUCGGAUUUACUGGGCGUAAAGCGUGUGUAGGCGGUUCGUUAAGUCGGGUGUGAAAUCCCUGGGCUCAACCCGGGAAUUGCAUUCGAUACUGGCGAGCUAGAGUACGGUAGAGGGCGGCGGAAUUCCGGGUGUAGCGGUGAAAUGCGUAGAUAUCCGGAGGAACACCGAUGGCGAAGGCAACCGCCUGGGCCUGUACUGACGCUGAGACACGAAAGCGUGGGGAGCAAACAGGAUUAGAUACCCUGGUAGUCCACGCCGUAAACGAUGAGAACUUGACGUCGGUUUGCCCUGCGAAUCGGUGUCGAAGCUAACGCGCUAAGUUCUCCGCCUGGGGAGUACGGCCGCAAGGUUG